AACGAACGCUGGCGGCAGGCCUAACACAUGCAAGUCGAGCGCACCUUCGGGUGAGCGGCGGACGGGUUAGUAACGCGUGGGAACGUGCCCAGAUCUAAGGAAUAGCCACUGGAAACGGUGAGUAAUACCUUAUACGCCCUUCGGGGAAAGAUUUAUCGGAUUUGGAUUCGGCCCGCGUUAGAUUAGAUAGUUGGUGGGUAACGGCCUACCAAGUCUACGAUCUAUAGCUGGUUUUAGAGGAUGAUCAGCAACACUGGGACUGAGACACGGCCCAGACUCCUACGGGAGGCAGCAGUGGGGAAUCUUGGACAAUGGGGGCAACCCUGAUCCAGCCAUGCCGCGUGAGUGGAUGAAGGCCUUAGGGCGUAAAGCUCUUUCGCCAGGGAUGAUAAUGACAGUACCUGGUAAAA
Molecule: ribosomal RNA, 410 nt
Filed under: uncultured bacterium
Lineage: Bacteria
Description: bacterial SSU rRNA
Rfam family: Bacterial small subunit ribosomal RNA
Source: RNAcentral